This 466-nucleotide ribosomal RNA is filed under the name uncultured bacterium. Its description in RNAcentral is "bacterial SSU rRNA". It matches the Rfam family "Bacterial small subunit ribosomal RNA", at positions 330 to 792 of the family's 1533-position model. The record is from RNAcentral.
UCCAGACUCCUACGGGAGGCAGCAGUGAGGAAUAUUGGUCAAUGGGCGGAAGCCUGAACCAGCCAAGUCGCGUGAGGGAAGAAGGCCCUGCGGGUCGCAGACCUCUUUGGACGGGGAGCAAGGCCGCCGACGUGUCGGCGGAAGGAGAGUACCCGUAGAACAAGCAUCGGCUAACUCCGUGCCAGCAGCCGCGGUAAUACGGAGGAUGCAAGCGUUAUCCGGAUUUACUGGGUGUAAAGGGCGUGUAGGCGGGGAAGCAAGCCAGAUGUGAAAACCACGGGCUCAACCUGUGGCCUGCAUUUGAAACUGUUUUUCUUGAGUGCUGGAGAGGCAAUCGGAAUUCCGUGUGUAGCGGUGAAAUGCGUAGAUAUACGGAGGAACACCAGUGGCGAAGGCGGAUUGCUGGACAGUAACUGACGCUGAGGCGCGAAAGCGUGGGGAGCAAACAGGAUUAGAUACCCGAGUA